RNAcentral lists this ribosomal RNA (389 nucleotides) under uncultured bacterium. RNAcentral describes it as "bacterial SSU rRNA". It matches the Rfam family "Bacterial small subunit ribosomal RNA", at positions 28 to 417 of the family's 1533-position model. The record is from RNAcentral.
GACGAACGCUGGCGGCGUGCUUAACACAUGCAAGUCGAGCGGUAAGGCCCUUUCGGGGGUACACGAGCGGCGAACGGGUGAGUAACACGUGGGUGACCUGCCUUUAGCUCUGGGAUAAGCCUGGGAAACUGGGUCUAAUACCGGAUACGACUCCGCGGUGCAUGCUGUGGGGUGGAAAGCCUUGUGCGGCUGGAGAUGGGCCCGCGGCCUAUCAGCUUGUUGGUGGGGUGAUGGCCUACCAAGGCGACGACGGGUAGCCGGCCUGAGAGGGCGACCGGCCGACACUGGGACUGAGACACGGCCCAGACUCCUACGGGAGGCAGCAGUGGGGAAUCUUGCGCAAUGGGCGAAAGCCUGACGCAGCGACGCCGCGUGAGGGAUGACGGCCU